GAUGAACGCUGGCGGCGUGCCUAAUACAUGCAAGUCGAGCGAACAGAUAAGGAGCUUGCUCCUUUGACGUUAGCGGCGGACGGGUGAGUAACACGUGGGUAACCUACCUAUAAGACUGGGAUAACUUCGGGAAACCGGAGCUAAUACCGGAUAAUAUUUCGAACCGCAUGGUUCGAUAGUGAAAGAUGGUUUUGCUAUCACUUAUAGAUGGACCCGCGCCGUAUUGGCUAGUUGGUAAGGUAACGGCUUACCAAGGCGACGAUACGUAGCCGACCUGAGAGGGUGAUCGGCCACACUGGAACUGAGACACGGUCCAGACUCCUACGGGAGGCAGCAGUAGGGAAUCUUCCGCAAUGGGCGAAAGCCUGACGGAGCAACGCCGCGUGAGUGAUGAAGGUCUUCGGAUCGUAAAACUCUGUUAUUAGGGAAGAACAUACGUGUAAGUAACUGUGCACGUCUUGACGGUACCUAAUCAGAAAGCCACGGCUAACUACGUG
This 497-nucleotide ribosomal RNA is filed under the name uncultured bacterium. Its description in RNAcentral is "partial 16S ribosomal RNA". It matches the Rfam family "Bacterial small subunit ribosomal RNA", at positions 28 to 507 of the family's 1533-position model. The record is from RNAcentral.